This is a long non-coding RNA of Leopardus geoffroyi (Geoffroy's cat), 729 nucleotides long. RefSeq lists it as uncharacterized. The transcript is spliced from 2 exons. The record is from RefSeq and is a predicted model, not a curated record. NCBI's taxonomy places the organism in Eukaryota, Metazoa, Chordata, Mammalia, Carnivora, Felidae.
AUUUUAGUCAGAGUAAUAGAUUAUCUUGUCAAUUAAAUCUGAAUGAAAGUGAAAUGUUUAGAAAUGCAGAUUUUCAACUUCAUUAUAUUUAUUAUAGUUCUUUGUGGUUAAGAUGGUUGUAUGUAUGAAACUUGUGGAAUAUUUUUCCUCGUCCUUCUCUCUUGUCUCAACAAGAUCCACUGAUGGACAUACUCACUUUUUCUCCAGAAGCUGGCAGGCGUGGCAGGAUUAUCCUUGCUGCCUCGCUUCCCAAUUGUGGGAGCUGGACAGUAUGAGCCUUUUUUUUGUUAUAAAAUUGCCAAGCUUUUGAUACAGUUGGAAUUUUUUUUUUUUUUUUUUGCCAUGAUGUUGCAAAGCAAAUAUCUUUUUCCAUGCCCUUUCUAUUAUUAUGUAGAUCAAAGCAGAACAACAUGAGCAACAACAAAUGCUCUGGCAGAGGAAACUUCUGGGCUGGGGACAUUGCCAGGGCCCCUCAUCUCUCACCCUGCCCUUCAUCAUAGUUUGAGACAGGCCUGAACAGCCUCAGGAAUCCCUUCGCCGAACACCUCAUCUCUGCAGGCCCGGCCCUCACAGAUGGUGCCAUGAGCAAGCAUGAAGACAACUGUGCGGAUAAUCUACACACUAGGAGCCUGAGUUUCAAGGCAUUUCCCCUUCCAGUUAGCCCUCCAGUCCCCACCACUAAACACCCUUUUCCCUCCCAAAAUAAAUGGCUUACAGUUAAUAUUAAAC